AAUAAUCAAGUACAUUUUUCAAGAUACUAUGCCCUAAUAACAAAGUGCAUACAUGUCUUAAUAAGAAAAGCUGAAAAUACAAUGUUGUAACAAAAAGAAAUAAAAGUAUGACACCUUAUAAACAAACAAACUUUUACUACUGUUGAGAGAAAUUUGAGAAACGAAUAGUAAAAGAUGUAAAGAACAAGCUAUUUAUAAAUUUUAUAGCCCCCAACUAACUCUAAUCAAUAAUAAUAGUACACAGUAAAAAAAAUAUACAUCCCCCCUUCAAAACCUAGUACAAAACCUGUACUUUUUUUUAACAGAAAGGGCAAUGAAGUAGUUACUUUCCAAAAUAAUAUGAGUAUAGAGUUGAUAAUCAAGCAAAUAUUCUAGAAGUUGAAGCUACACAAGCAUUAGAAGGGAUUAAGGAAUUUGUGUUAAUGUUCUUG
This 431-nucleotide long non-coding RNA is filed under the name Lactuca sativa (garden lettuce). Its description in RNAcentral is "long non-coding RNA (LSAT_LNC003299)". The record is from RNAcentral. Lineage: Eukaryota; Viridiplantae; Streptophyta; Magnoliopsida; Asterales; Asteraceae.